AUUAAAAAAAAUGUUGUGGAGUUCCUGUCGUGGCUCAGUGAUUAACAAAUCCGACUAGGAACCAUGAGGUUGCGGGUUUGAUCCCUGGCCUUGCUCAGUGGGUUAAGGAUCUGGCAUUGCCGUGAGCUGUGGUGUAGGUUGCGGACGCAGCUCAGAUCCUGUGUUGCCGUGGCUCUGGCGUAGGCUGGUGGCUACAGCUCUGAUUCGACCCCUAGCCUGGGAACCUCCAUAUGCCGCGGGAGCGGCCCAAGAAAUGGCAAAAAGACAAAAAAGAAAAUAAAUAAAUAAAAUAAAAUGAAUAUUGUGCCUUGAAAUCUUCAGAUGAUUCCAUCCAUAUUUGCUUUUUAUUGUCUUUAUAACCAUUUGCAUACUGUUCUUAAUAGGAAUUUAAAAUAUACAGUGUUGUUAUAUUUGACUAUGAUUAACUAUUAUUCAUUCAUUUAAAAUAUUUUUAAUGUGAGUCUGUUCUUUGUCACAUAUGACAAACAUUGAGUAAUGGAGUUACCAUGGGCAGUGAAAGAGAUUUGGCCCUUGCACUUACAGAGUUUCCAAUCCACUGAGAAGGACAGAGGUUAAUCAGCCAGACAUGCUGGAGAGAUAUUCUCUUCUCUAGUGUAAUUGUAACUUGUAGCUGAAAUUGUUAAUUUAAAAAAAGAAAAACAAAAAACAAAACUGCUAGGAGUUCCUGUCGUGGUGCAGUGGAAAUGAAUCCGACUAGCAACCAUGAGGUUGUGGGUUUGAUCCCUGGCCUUGCUCAAUGGGUUAAGGAUCUGGCAUUGCUGUGAGCUGUGGUGUAGGUCACAGAUGAGGCUUGGAUCUGAUGUUGCUGUGGCUGUGGCAUAGGGCAGCAGCUCUAGCUCCAUUAGACCCCUAGCCUGAGAACUUCCAUGUGCCAUGGGUGCGGCCCUAAAAAGACAAAAAGAUAAAAACAAACAAGCAAACAAAAACUGCUAAAGCAUAGUAUUUUAGGGACAUGACAUCAUCCUUAAAUAUUUUAGGAUUUUAAACAAUGUAUUUAUGAAUUUGUUUAUUGAUGUUUCAUUGUUUAUCCAUAUUUAACAAUUUGGCAAUUAAUUGAUGUAUAGUCAGGGCUUUUAGCAGUGGGUCUCCUGAGUGGUAACCCUCAUUAUCUUCUUAGGUAAGUCACACCAAAAAUAUGUAUUCUACGGCUUAUACUUUUGAUUUGCCAAAAAUGACUGGAGAGCUUAAAGGCUUUUGACCAGCAGUGUAAGUAGUGUAAGUGCAGAAUUUGUCUAGUUUCCUGAUUUUUAUUCCCAUUUUAUGACUCUAUUUGACAUCUGAUUUUGUGGUUUUCGAAAAUGAAAUUUACCUUUGUUCUUUCCAAAGCAGUCAAUCUCGUGUCACUAACAACAUCCUUUUUGCCCUUACAUUGUAUUACUUAUGCAAAAUUUAAUUAAUUUACCCAAGUACGGUAACAAAUAGAAAUGGCAUAAACAGACUUGGGAUCAAGCAGAUAGGUAAAGCAGUUCGAGUGGGAGUGUGUGGUGUGCUAGAGUUGCCUUUUUGCCAUUCAGGUGCCAUGUAGUGACUGGAGUAGUCUAAAUAAGAAACAUUGUCCUUGUCCCCAAAACUAUUCAUUCUACCAUUUUUUCAGGGCCUUAUCCUGCUACAAGUCUAAACAAGUCCUUGAAAUAAUUGUGGAAAAGCAGAAUCCAAAUUCAUCACAGGUAUAAAUCUUUUCACUACCCAGAAAGACCUGGAAUGGUGUUUUCUAUAGCACACUUUGCUUACCAUUUUCUCCUUUCACAUUUGUAUUUAUAUUCAUGAUUUCAGCACAUCACGUUUUCAAGACAAUAGAAAAAAAAAGGAGAAGUCAUGCUUUUAAGCUUGUACCAUGCCAUUGAAUUUCUUUGAAAGGACAACAAGUGUGUUUAUUUUAUCACUGUGAGUCUAAAAAUUAACCGUGAAACAUCAUUCUCUACUUCUAAACUAUGUGUAACAAAGAAAUGCUUUAUUGCAACUUCAUCAAUAAUUCAAAUGCAACUUAAAAGAAAGUAGGGCAGCAUAAGAAAAAAAAAGCACACUUGUUCCAUAAUUGAGUCGAUUAAAUAGUAUUGAAUCUUAUUGUCAUAUUCAUAUUGAUGAAACAACUUCCAUAACUACAAAGAGUCUAAUAAGAAAUAAGACCUUAGAAUUAUGAGACAAUGUCAUAGGCAUUUCUGUAUUUUUUUCUGUUGUAAAAGACAAAUAGUGAAAGCAAGCUUUUACUUGUGUAUGAUAAUGAACGAACAGCUUUUGAAAGGUCUCUUAUUGGGAUUUUAGUAGUUUUCAAGGCUGUGCAGUAAUAACCCAAGCUAUUUUGGAACUGUGCAUACAUUAGUGUUCUGGUGCUGCAUGAUACAAUAAUGUGUGAAAAAGUGUACGAUCACACCUUGUUUAAAUUUGCAGUUUUUGUGCAUAAUCCCAAUGAGCUCUUGUCAGGUUUUGACUGUAUAUAGGAGAAAAAAAGUUUAUAGAGGCCUAAGAUUGGGGUUGGAUUUAAAUAUAUGACUAUGAAAAUAAGAAUUUUUUAAAAUUGUACUUUUUUAAAGAUCAAAAGAGUUCAGUUUAUAUGUAACAUUUUGCAAAACAGCCUAUGGUUAGUUUGGCCCAGGAGAAGCUUCAGAAUGUGCAUAAAUAACCAUCUGAAUGAUAAUGUAUAUAUAUCUGCUCUCUUUUGUAUUUGCAAAAUAUGAGCGAAAAAUUUGUCACCCAGAGAAGCAAAACCCUGAUUCCAUUGAUGCCCUUGUUCAAAACAUUUUGGAAAACUUCCUCUCAGAAUUGUCUUUUGAAUCAUUUGCAAGCUUGACUAAAACAUCCAUCUCAUUACUUUCUAUUCGCAUUUUAUACCAAGAUUCAUCAUGCUUUUUUUUUUUAUUCACCAGAGUUGGCUAUAAAUGUCUCUCUGAAGUGAUGAAAAUGGCUAAAAUUGACUUUCAAAUUAUGAAAUUUGUCACCAUUGAGGAUAUUUAGAAAUGUGUAUGCAUGUGUGUGGUACAGACUUGGAAAGCAGUUUCAAAAGGAGAUGGAAAUACUGUGAGUAAUGGCUGAGCUUUAGGGUGAGUGAGUGGUAUUCUAAGGUAACCACUUUGAAGGGAAAGUACAUUUGGAUGACAUGGUGUGUUUGUUUAAAAACCAGUCACAUUACUUUUUAAUGACACUGUAUAUUAGUUUUUAUAGCAUAUACAAAGAGAAAUGCAAAUAUGUCUUUUGGAAUGCAAGGCCAAAAUGUCUUACACAAUUAGUAGCAUAUUUUAUUAGUAAGACAAUUAAAGGAUUAAGCAACUAACAUGUUAAUCCUGUGUAGGCAGAUUCUUCAGAUAAUGGUCUUUACAUGGGAUAUCUCUGUAUAAUUUUAUUUUAGUUAAAUACUGUCAUUUAAUGUCUGAUUUGUAAGUAUGUGUUUCCAUUGGCAUCUUGGGUUAAUGUGUACUUCAUUUCAUGUCAUUUGAAGGUACUAGUUGAUAACAUUUGACAUUUUUGUUUCAGUUGACCUCUUCCUAUAAGUAAUUGACCCAGUUGUUAGAACUAUUAUUGCUUAUUUUUUAACUAUCAGUAAAGAAACACAAAUAGUUACAUGUGCUUGAAAUGUAGAGUCAUUGAAGUCUAAGUAUUUUCUUAGUUUAGAGGAAAUAUGUGGUCAUUCAGUACAAUUCACAGAAUGUUUAUGUGUGGAAUGAUUUACGAAUAAAAUGAAAAUCAAGUAGUAAUCCAGAAUGUUCACCAUUUACCUCCAGUUUGAACAUCUUUAUUGUGCUCUUUCUUAAAUGGGUAGGAAGUAAAAGAAAUGAUUUCCAGAGAGACUUAGUUGAGUAGUUUUUAUUUUCUGAGCAUUAGAGUUGGUAUUAGUUCUGGAGUUCCCACUGUGGUGUAGUGGGUAAAGAAUCUGACUGCACUGGCUCAGGUCACUACUCAGGAGUGGGUUUGAUCCCCAGCCCAGUGCAGUGGGUUAAAGGAUC
RNAcentral lists this long non-coding RNA (3959 nucleotides) under Sus scrofa (pig). Its description in RNAcentral is "lncRNA (ENSSSCG00050051600.1)". The record is from RNAcentral. Lineage: Eukaryota; Metazoa; Chordata; Mammalia; Artiodactyla; Suidae.